GCUUACGGCCACACCGGCCUGAGUACGCCUGAUCUCGUCUGAUCUCGUCCGAUCUCGGAAGCUAAGCAGGGUCGGGCCUGGUUAGUACUUGGAUGGGAGACCGCCUGGGAAUACCAGGUGCUGUAAGCU
Molecule: ribosomal RNA, 129 nt
Organism: Oncorhynchus mykiss (rainbow trout)
Lineage: Eukaryota; Metazoa; Chordata; Actinopteri; Salmoniformes; Salmonidae
Source: Ensembl